CGCGGGAUAGAGCAGUCCGGUAGCUCGUUGGGCUCAUAACCCAAAGGCCGUAGGUUCAAAUCCUACUCCCGCAACCA
This 77-nucleotide transfer RNA is filed under the name Firmicutes bacterium CAG:582. RNAcentral's name for it is "transfer RNA-Met(CAT)". It matches the Rfam family "tRNA". Rfam says of the family: Transfer RNA (tRNA) molecules are approximately 80 nucleotides in length. Their secondary structure includes four short double-helical elements and three loops (D, anti-codon, and T loops). Lineage: Bacteria; Bacillati; Bacillota. RNAcentral also lists the same sequence under 1 other name. The record is from RNAcentral.